CGAGUUCGGCCCUUCACAGCCUUUCAAAGGAGCCAAGAUCACCGGUUCACUCCACAUGACCAUCCAGACGGCCGUCCUCAUCGAGACACUCACCGCUCUCGGCGCCGAAGUCCGCUGGUGCUCCUGCAACAUCUUCUCAACCCAAGACCACGCGGCCGCCGCCAUCGCACGUGACUCCGCCUCCGUCUUUGCCUGGAAGGGUGAGACCCUCCAGGAGUACUGGUGGUGCACGGAGAAAGCCCUGGACUGGGGUCCCGGCGGCGGCCCAGAUCUCAUCGUCGAUGACGGUGGUGACGCCACGUUGUUGAUCCACGAGGGAGUCAAAGCUGAGGAGAUCUACGAGAAGACCGGGAAGUUGCCCGACCCGGCCUCCACCGACAACGCCGAGUUUCAGAUUGUUUUGACUAUCAUUAGAGAUGGGUUGAAGGCCGAUCCCAAGAAGUACCACAAAAUGAAGGAAAGAUUAGUUGGUGUUUCCGAAGAAACCACGACCGGUGUCAAGAGAUUGUACCAGAUGCAAGAAAAUGGAACCCUCUUGUUCCCUGCCAUCAAUGUCAAUGACUCUGUCACCAAGAGCAAGGUAAUUUAUUUUGAUUUGCUUCAGAUCUCAAGUUUAUUUUAUUUUAUUUUAUUUUAUGCCAUCAAUUCAUUAAAUGGUUUGAAAUAUUGGAGGAAAUUAAAUACUAAUGUUUGAUAAUGCAAUGGGGGAAACAGUUUGAUAACUUGUAUGGAUGCCGCCACUCGCUCCCAGAUGGUUUGAUGAGAGCUACUGAUGUUAUGAUUGCCGGAAAGGUUGCUGUUGUUUGCGGUUAUGGUGAUGUUGGCAAGGGUUGUGCUGCUGCUUUGAAGCAAGCCGGUGCGCGUGUAAUUGUUACCGAGAUUGAUCCAAUUUGCGCUCUCCAGGCUCUUAUGGAGGGUCUUCAAGUCCUAACCCUUGAGGACGUCGUCUCCGAUGCUGACAUCUUUGUUACCACCACCGGUAACAAGGACAUCAUCAUGGUUGACCACAUGAAGAAGAUGAAGAACAAUGCAAUUGUUUGCAACAUUGGUCACUUUGAUAAUGAAAUUGAUAUGCUCGGUCUUGAGACCUACCCGGGUGUUAAGCGCAUUACCAUCAAGCCCCAAACUGAUAGGUGGGUCUUCCCGGAGACCAACUCAGGCAUCAUCGUGUUGGCUGAGGGACGUCUCAUGAACUUGGGAUGUGCCACUGGACACCCCAGCUUUGUGAUGUCCUGCUCCUUCACCAAC
RNAcentral lists this long non-coding RNA (1248 nucleotides) under Citrus sinensis (sweet orange). Its description in RNAcentral is "long non-coding RNA (CSIN_LNC004480)". The record is from RNAcentral. Lineage: Eukaryota; Viridiplantae; Streptophyta; Magnoliopsida; Sapindales; Rutaceae.